CCUACGGGAGGCUGCAGUGAGGAAUAUUGGUCAAUGGACGAGAGUCUGAACCAGCCAAGUAGCGUGAAGGAUGACUGCCCUAUGGGUUGUAAACUUCUUUUAUAAAGGAAUAAAACGAGGCACGUGUGCCUUUUUGCAUGUACUUUAUGAAUAAGGAUCGGCUAACUCCGUGCCAGCAGCCGCGGUAAUACGGAGGAUCCGAGCGUUAUCCGGAUUUAUUGGGUUUAAAGGGAGCGUAGAUGGGUUGUUAAGUCAGUUGUGAAAGUUUGCGGCUCAACCGUAAAAUUGCAAUUGAUACUGGCAGUCUCGAGUACAGUUGAGGUAGGCGGAAUUCGUGGUGUAGCGGUGAAAUGCUUAGAUAUCACGAAGAACCCCGAUUGCGAAGGCAGCUUACUAAACUGUGACUGACAUUGAUGCUCGAAAGUGUGGGUAUCAAACAGGAUUAGAUACCCUUGUAGUC
RNAcentral lists this ribosomal RNA (460 nucleotides) under uncultured bacterium. RNAcentral's name for it is "partial 16S ribosomal RNA". It matches the Rfam family "Bacterial small subunit ribosomal RNA", at positions 338 to 795 of the family's 1533-position model. The record is from RNAcentral.